UGGGGAAUAUUGCACAAUGGGGGAAACCCUGAUGCAGCAACGCCGCGUGAAGGAUGAAGGUUUUCGGAUUGUAAACUUCUAUCGAUGGGGACGAACACAAUGACGGUACCCAAGUAAGAAGCCCCGGCUAACUACGUGCCAGCAGCCGCGGUAAUACGUAGGGGGCAAGCGUUAUCCGGAUUUACUGGGUGUAAAGGGUGAGUAGGCGGUUUGUAAAGUCAUGUGUGAAAUUCCGGGGCUUAACCCCGGAACUGCACAAGAAACUUACAAACUAGAGUACAGGAGAGGUAAGCGGAAUUCCUAGUGUAGCGGUGAAAUGCGUAGAUAUUAGGAAGAACACCAGUGGCGAAGGCGGCUUACUGGACUGAAACUGACGCUGAGUCACGAAAGCGUGGGGAGCGAACA
This 405-nucleotide ribosomal RNA is filed under the name uncultured Eubacteriales bacterium. RNAcentral's name for it is "uncultured Clostridiales bacterium partial 16S ribosomal RNA". It matches the Rfam family "Bacterial small subunit ribosomal RNA", at positions 355 to 774 of the family's 1533-position model. Lineage: Bacteria; Bacillati; Bacillota; Clostridia; Eubacteriales. The record is from RNAcentral.